RNAcentral lists this ribosomal RNA (446 nucleotides) under uncultured bacterium. RNAcentral describes it as "partial 16S ribosomal RNA". It matches the Rfam family "Bacterial small subunit ribosomal RNA", at positions 338 to 795 of the family's 1533-position model. The record is from RNAcentral.
CCUACGGGGGGCAGCAGUAGGGAAUUUUCGGCAAUGGGGGGAACCCUGACCGAGCAACGCCGCGUGAACGAAGAAGUUAUUCGUAAUGUAAAGUUCUUUUAACAGGGAAGAAAGAGAAAUUUGACGGUACCUGAAGAAAAAGCAUCGGCUAACUCCGUGCCAGCAGCCGCGGUAAUACGGAGGAUGCGAGCGUUAUCCGGAUUUAUUGGGUUUAAAGGGUGCGUAGGCGGAAUAUCAAGUCAGCGGUAAAAAUUCGGGGCUCAACCCCGUCGUGCCGUUGAAACUGAUGUUCUUGAGUGGGCGAGAAGUAUGCGGAAUGCGUGGUGUAGCGGUGAAAUGCAUAGAUAUCACGCAGAACUCCGAUUGCGAAGGCAGCAUACCGGCGCCCAACUGACGCUGAAGCACGAAAGCGUGGGUAUCGAACAGGAUUAGAUACCCCAGUAGUC